This 484-nucleotide ribosomal RNA is filed under the name uncultured bacterium. RNAcentral's name for it is "partial 16S ribosomal RNA". It matches the Rfam family "Bacterial small subunit ribosomal RNA", at positions 29 to 507 of the family's 1533-position model. The record is from RNAcentral.
AUUGAACGCUGGCGGAAUGCUUUACACAUGCAAGUCGAGCGGCAGCGCGGCCUUCGGGCUGGCGGCGAGCGGCGAACGGGUGAGUAAUGCAUCGGAACAUGCCCAGUCGUGGGGGAUAACACUUCGAAAGAAGUGCUAAUACCGCAUACGUCCUGAGGGGGAAAGCGGGGGAUCGCAAGACCUCGCGCGAUUGGAGUGGCCGAUGUCAGAUUAGCUAGUUGGUGGGGUAAAGGCCUACCAAGGCGACGAUCUGUAGCUGGUCUGAGAGGAUGAUCAGCCACACUGGGACUGAGACACGGCCCAGACUCCUACGGGAGGCAGCAGUGGGGAAUUUUGGACAAUGGGGGCAACCCUGAUCCAGCCAUUCCGCGUGAGUGAAGAAGGCCUUCGGGUUGUAAAGCUCUUUCGGCAGGAACGAAACGGUGGGCUCUAACAUAGUCCGCUAAUGACGGUACCUGAGGAAGAAGCACCGGCUAACUACGUG